RNAcentral lists this long non-coding RNA (1080 nucleotides) under Capra hircus (goat). RNAcentral describes it as "lncRNA (ENSCHIG00010001101.1)". Lineage: Eukaryota; Metazoa; Chordata; Mammalia; Artiodactyla; Bovidae. The record is from RNAcentral.
UGCAACAGCAGCAACAGAAAUCAUUAAAGUGCUGUUGUAAUUCCUACAUUUUAUAAUUUAAAAGAAUAUUCAUUUUACCCAAUCUCCAUACUCCAAGAACUAUUGUGUAUAUUCAUAAAUUAUUAGAGAUAAUAUACUAUCAUAGUCAUUGUGCCAAGGCCAAUGUGAACAAAGAAAAUGGGUGAAUUAGAAUUAGUGGCAUAUAAAAUUGGGAGGCACAAAGCAUUUACCGCUUCAUUUUUCUAAUCCUAAGGAAGAAUCUCUUCAAGGCGUGUCCAGCAGUAACACUGUCGAGCAGAAAGGGACACAGAACUAGUAAGAACAGAACUUAAUAACACAGACACAGAACUAGUGACUAAUAAGAACAUGAAUUCCUUCUAAGGCUCAAAUUCUUCAAAAUCGAUAAUUCCAGGAAUAGCCUGGCUCCCAGAUUCUUACUAUAUACACUUUUAUCAUUAGACCACAGAGACCAGAGUUGAAUUUCUUGUUUUUUUUUUUUUUCCCCAGAUUAUUACAACUAUAAGGAAAACAUUUGCCCAGACUUCUUUUCCUUAGAAGAAUGACUCAGAAUUCUAUUCCCUGUAACAUUAGCACCAUGAGCCUCCUUAUCAACAAAAUACAGUGUAAGAUGUGAUUCAAUUUAUAUUUUUUAGAUAGCACAGCUUCUUGUCACUGAGUCAAAUAUGUAUUUUGAGGGAAAACAUAUUUUUAACAAUUAAUCAACAUUUAACCUAAUAACUCUCAUUCUAAUGAACCUCAAUUAUAGUAAUAAAUGAUUUGUACUCAUUGUUAACAUCAAUUACACUCUUGGAUACACUUUUUGCUACUUGCUAAUAGAGAGUAGGAGGAAGUGUUUACAUUUUCUUUAAAAGAGGGAGAACCUGUGAUACAGUUAGUGCAUAGGCUAACUUAAAUAUUUAGAAAGUGAGAAAAACCUUCGUGAUUUACUUUAUACGGUUUAAACCAUUUCUUAGAAAUUUGCAGAUGAUAUUAAAAAAGAAAAUGAUACCAAUAUUCUUAUGUCUGUAAUACUACAUUUAUAUUUCAAUGGUGAAUAAGAAGCACAUAGUUCUGCACUUU